AGAGUGGGGAGUAAAUAGGAUAGAUAGGUUGGUAGUUUAUGUAGUAAAUGAUGUUGAUUUGGAGGUUGUGUAGUUGAGGAGUGGGUUUUGGAGAUAAUGAGUUAAGUAGAUUGCGUGGGGAGUAUGGGUGUAAGGUUAAAAAUUAAAUGAAUUGAAGGGGGUUAGUACAAGUGGUGGAGUAUGUGGUUUAAUUCGAUGCAACGGGAAGAACCUUACAUAAUCUUGACAUCCAGAGAACUUAGCAGAGAUGGUUUGGUGCCUUCGGGAACUCUGAGACAGGUGCUGCAUGGCUGUCGUCAGAUCGUGUUGUGAAAUGUUGGGUUAAGUCCCGCAACGAGCGCAACCCUUAUCCUUUGUUGCCAGCGGUUAGGCCGGGAACUCAAAGGAGACUGCCAGUGAUAAACUGGAGGAAGGUGGGGAUGACGUCAAGUCAUCAUGGCCCUUACGAGUAGGGCUACACACGUGCUACAAUGGCGCAUACAAAGAGAAGCGACCUCGCGAGAGCAAGCGGACCUCAUAAAGUGCGUCGUAGUCCGGAUUGGAGUCUGCAACUCGACUCCAUGAAGUCGGAAUCGCUAGUAAUCGUGGAUCAGAAUGCCACGGUGAAUACGUUCCCGGGCCUUGUACACACCGCCCGUCACACCAUGGGA
This 650-nucleotide ribosomal RNA is filed under the name Enterobacter sp. RNAcentral describes it as "bacterial SSU rRNA". It matches the Rfam family "Bacterial small subunit ribosomal RNA", at positions 758 to 1409 of the family's 1533-position model. The record is from RNAcentral. Lineage: Bacteria; Pseudomonadati; Pseudomonadota; Gammaproteobacteria; Enterobacterales; Enterobacteriaceae.